Syngnathus acus (greater pipefish) is the source of this 1031-nucleotide long non-coding RNA. RefSeq lists it as uncharacterized. The record is from RefSeq and is a predicted model, not a curated record. The transcript is spliced from 2 exons. NCBI's taxonomy places the organism in Eukaryota, Metazoa, Chordata, Actinopteri, Syngnathiformes, Syngnathidae.
CCUGAGGAACGAGACUCGCUGAGAGCUCGACUCGGCGAGCGCUUCGCUUGGCCGCCGGGGUGCCCACCUACGUUGAUGUUCCUCAGGAAGUCGGCGGAUGCCAUGGACAGGCUGAUGUUCUCCGGCAGGGAGAACUGCUGGCGGAUGCCCCCGGCUGACAACACCGACGACGCCUGCUCACCGUCGUGUCUUUCUCCACCACGAUGACAUUGAGCCCCCCGCGGAGCCCCUCCUUCUUCUUGAGCCAAUAGGCCACGGACCAGCCCAUCACGCCGCCUCCCACGAUCACGAUGUCGGUCCUCUCUGGUGGAAGGUUGGGGUUGAUCUCCAGCGGGCUCCAGGAGCUCCCCGGCAGAGCGUCAGCCACCUUCUUCCUCGUGGCGGCCAACUGGGCCUCCAGAUCUAGAAUGAACACAUUCUAGUAAUACUUCAUUGGAAGGGCAAAUGACAAGGACCAUUUAUCUUGACUGAGUUCCUGAAUGUUUCGAAGGAGCGCUUUUAUUCGGCAAAAGUUUAAACGCACUCACAUUCAUCUUUUGCCUGUUUAUCAAUAUUAUGAUGGUUAUUAUGACUUUGCUUUAGUUUGUGGCACCUAACGACCGUAGCCCACCUUUAAAGAAGUCAUUCCGCAGCGGCGUCCCGGUGCCCAGGUUUCGGCGUGACACUGCGAGUCCGCACAGCAGCCGGUGGUCCGGUGGGACCCCUGCGAAGGUGAGCGCAGCCCGAAGCGUCCGCACAUUUGCACGCACGCUACGCCACGUUGACAUCGCGUUGCCUCAGUUAGCUCACACACUCAAGGGAAGCCACAAACAUAUUUCAGGUAUGCAGAAAUAGGCAGUUAAGCCACAGGGAUGUCAAUGUUUAGAACAUUCCGUAGAACUCCACCACUCGUUCCAUGCGUGGUGACUUUCUUCAAAAUAAAAGCAUCAUUUAGCUGUCGCCACUUUCUGGAUCAAUAUUUUGCUUACAUAUUCACACUUUCAAAAUGAAAAUAAUUAAACACAUCUGAAUAAAGCACCCAAUUUACGAAA